This 253-nucleotide ribosomal RNA is filed under the name uncultured bacterium. Its description in RNAcentral is "partial 16S ribosomal RNA". It matches the Rfam family "Bacterial small subunit ribosomal RNA", at positions 524 to 776 of the family's 1533-position model. The record is from RNAcentral.
UACAGAGGGGGCAAGCGUUGUUCGGAAUUACUGGGCGUAAAGGGCGCGUAGGCGGCCUGCUAAGUCGAACGUGAAAUCCCUGGGCUCAACCCAGGAACUGCGUCCGAUACUGGUUGGCUUGAAUCCGGGAGAGGGAUGUGGAAUUCCAGGUGUAGCGGUGAAAUUCGUAGAUAUCGGGAGGAACACCAGUGGCGAAGGCGGCUCUCUGGGCAGAUACUGACGCUGAGACGCGAAAGCAUGGGGAGCAAACAGG